RNAcentral lists this non-coding RNA (738 nucleotides) under Ixodes scapularis (black-legged tick). Its description in RNAcentral is "Eukaryotic large subunit ribosomal RNA". It matches the Rfam family "Eukaryotic large subunit ribosomal RNA", at positions 1 to 767 of the family's 3401-position model. The record is from Rfam by way of RNAcentral. Lineage: Eukaryota; Metazoa; Arthropoda; Arachnida; Ixodida; Ixodidae.
UGACCUCGGAUCAGGUAGGGUUACCCGCUGAACUUAAGCAUAUCAAUAAGCGGAGGAAAAGAAACCAACAGGGAUUGCCUUAGUAACGGCGAGUGAAGCGGCAACAGCUCAAAUUUGAAAUCUGGUCCCCUUUGGGGGCCCGAGUUGUAAUUUGAAGAGGAUGCUUUUGGCGAGGCGCCGUCCGAGUUCCCUGGAACGGGACGCCGCAGAGGGUGAGAGCCCCGUACGGUCGGACGCCGAGCCUCUGUAAAGCUCCUUCGACGAGUCGAGUAGUUUGGGAAUGCUGCUCAAAAUGGGAGGUAAACCCCUUCUAAAGCUAAAUACUGGCCAGAGACCGAUAGCGCACAAGUAGAGUGAUCGAAAGAUGAAAAGCACUUUGAAAAGAGAGUUAAAAAGCACGUGAAAUUGUUAAAAGGGAAGCGCUUGCGACCAGACUUGCGCCCGUCGGAUCAACCGUCGCUUGCGGCGGCGCACUCCGGCGGGCUCAGGCCAGCAUCAGUUCGUCCGGGGGGAGAAAGGCGGCGGGAAUGUGGCUCUUCGGAGUGUUAUAGCCCGCCGUGUAAUACCCUCGGGUGGACUGAGGACCGCGCGUAUGCAAGGAUGCUGGCGUAAUGGUCGUCAGCGACCCGUCUUGAAACACGGACCAAGGAGUCGUCCUAAUAUGCGAGUGUACGGGUGUCAAACCCCUGCGCGUAAUGAAAGUGAACGGAGGUGAGAGCUUCGGCGCAUCAUCGACCG